AUAUUUAUUUAUUAACUUUACAAUCAUACAAAAAAUUAUAACAAUGAUUGAAGGUAUGGUCAACAGGACAUGAGUCCCAUGUGAAGACCAACCUGAUACAAUACAAUAAGUAGAAACAUUAAAGACAAGGACUAGAACACUAUUUACAUAGCUAUAUAAAAAUUAAUACUUUAGAUUAUGAGCAACAACUUGAAAGAACGGCAUUUUGAGCAAUAGGUUUUCCAAGUGCGCAUUCUGUUAACAUCGAAAGAAGAGUCUAAUUGAGAAGAGUAUAGUGAGAAUGGAGCUGGAACUUAAAGGAUGAAACAGACGAACUGUUACGAAUGAUCGGAGAGAGAUUUUUCCAUAGAA
Non-coding RNA from Paramuricea clavata, 351 nucleotides. The record is from the annotation of a GenBank genome assembly. Lineage: Eukaryota; Metazoa; Cnidaria; Anthozoa; Malacalcyonacea; Plexauridae.